AAUGAACGCUGGCGGCGCGCCUAAUACAUGCAAGUCGAGCGAGAAGACGUAGCAAUACGUUUGUAAAGCGGCGAACGGGUGAGGAAUACAUGGGUAACCUACCCUUGAGUGGGGAAUAACUAGCCGAAAGGUUAGCUAAUACCGCGUACGCUUCCUGGACUUCGGUUCAGGGAGGAAAGCGAUGCCGAGGGUAUCGCGCUCUUGGAUGGGCUCAUGUCCUAUCAGCUGUUGGUGAGGUAACGGCUCACCAAGGCUUCGACGGGUAGCUGGUCUGAGAGGACGAUCAGCCACACUGGCACUGCGACACGGGCCAGACUCCGUACGGGAGGCAGCAGUAAGGAAUAUUGCGCAAUGGGACGAAAGCCUGACGCAGCGACGCCGCGGUGGGGGAU
Molecule: ribosomal RNA, 392 nt
Filed under: uncultured bacterium
Lineage: Bacteria
Description: bacterial SSU rRNA
Rfam family: Bacterial small subunit ribosomal RNA
Source: RNAcentral